AGAGUUUGAUCCUGGCUCAGGACGAACGCUGGCGGCGUGCUUAACACAUGCAAGUCGAACGAGGCCCCUUCUUCGGGAGGGUGUUCUAGUGGCGAACGGGUGAGUAACACGUGGGCAACCUGCCCCCGGCUCUGGGAUAACUCCAAGAAAUUGGGGCUAAUACCGGAUGUGACCGCUGGCCGCAUGGUCUGGUGGUGGAAAGGGUUUCCGGCUGGGGAUGGGCCCGCGGCCUAUCAGCUUGUUGGUGGGGUAGUGGCCUACCAAGGCGACGACGGGUAGCCGGCCUGAGAGGGUGACCGGCCACACUGGGACUGAGACACGGCCCAGACUCCUACGGGAGGCAGCAGUGGGGAAUAUUGCGCAAUGGGCGGAAGCCUGACGCAGCGACGCCGCGUGGGGGAUGACGGCCUUCGGGUUGUAAACCUCUUUCAGCAGGGACGAAGCGUAAGUGACGGUACCUGCAGAAGAAGCACCGGCCAACUACGUGCCAGCAGCCGCGGUAAUACGUAGGGUGCAAGCGUUGUCCGGAAUUAUUGGGCGUAAAGAGCUCGUAGGCGGUUCGUCGCGUCGGCUGUGAAAACCCGGAGCUCAACUCCGGGCCUGCAGUCGAUACGGGCGGACUUGAGUUCGGCAGGGGAGACUGGAAUUCCUGGUGUAGCGGUGAAAUGCGCAGAUAUCAGGAGGAACACCGGUGGCGAAAGGCGGGUCUCUGGGCCGAUACUGACGCUGAGGAGCGAAAGCGUGGGGAGCGAACAGGAUUAGAUACCCUGGUAGUCCACGCCGUAAACGUUGGGCGCUAGGUGUGGGGGCCAUUCCACGGUCUCCGUGCCGCAGCUAACGCAUUAAGCGCCCCGCCUGGGGGAGUACGGCCGCAAGGCUAAGACUCAAAGGAAUUGACGGGGGCCCGCACAAGCGGGCGGAGCAUGUUGCUUAAUUCGAUGCAACGCGAAGAACCUUACCUAGGCUUGACAUGCACGGAAAUCUUCGCAGAGAAUAGCGGGGUCCGGUCAAGGGCCGUUGCACAGGUGGUGCAUGGUUGUCGUCAGCUCGUGUCGUGAGAUGUUGGGUUAAGUCCCGCAACGAGCGCAACCCUCGUUCCAUGUUGCCAGCGCGUGAUGGCGGGGACUCAUGGGAGACUGCCGGGGUCAACUCGGAGGAAGGUGGGGAUGACGUCAAAUCAUCAUGCCCCUUAUGUCUAGGGCUGCAAACAUGCUACAAUGGCCGGUACAAAGGGCUGCGAUACCGUGAGGUGGAGCGAAUCCCAAAAAGCCGGUCUCAGUUCGGAUUGGGGUCUGCAACUCGACCCCAUGAAGUUGGAGUCGCUAGUAAUCGCAGAUCAGCAACGCUGCGGUGAAUACGUUCCCGGGCCUUGUACACACCGCCCGUCACGCCACGAAAGUCGGUAACGCCCGAAGCCGGUGGCCCAACCCCUUGUGGGAGGGAGCCGUCGAAGGCGGGAUCGGCGAUUGGGACGAAGUCGUAACAAGGUAGCCG
RNAcentral lists this ribosomal RNA (1494 nucleotides) under uncultured Geodermatophilus sp. RNAcentral's name for it is "bacterial SSU rRNA". It matches the Rfam family "Bacterial small subunit ribosomal RNA". Lineage: Bacteria; Bacillati; Actinomycetota; Actinomycetes; Geodermatophilales; Geodermatophilaceae. The record is from RNAcentral.